CCUACGGGAGGCAGCAGUAGGGAAUAUUGGGCAAUGGACGAAAGUCUGACCCAGCCAUGCCGCGUGCAGGAUGAAGGCCCUCUGGGUUGUAAACUGCUUUUGACAGGGAAGAAAUACACCAUGCGUGGUGGGCUGACGGUACCUGUAGAAUAAGCACCGGCUAACUCCGUGCCAGCAGCCGCGGUAAUACGGAGGGUGCAAGCGUUGUCCGGAUUUAUUGGGUUUAAAGGGUGCGUAGGCGGUUUUGUAAGUCAGUGGUGAAAGCUAGCAGCUUAACUGUUAAACUGCCAUUGAUACUGCAAAGCGUGAGUUCAGAUGAGGUAGGCGGAAUUUAUAGUGUAGCGGUGAAAUGCUUAGAUACUAUAAAGAACUCCGAUAGCGUAGGCAGCUUACUAAACUGAUACUGACGCUGAGGCACGAAAGUGUGGGGAUCAAACAGGAUUAGAUACCCUGGUAGUCCACACUGUAAACGAUGAUUACUCGUUGUUGGCGAUAUUACUGCCAGCGACUUAGGGAAACCGUUAAGUAAUCCACCUGGGAGUACGUUCGCAAGGAUGAAACUCAAAGGAAUUGACGG
This 577-nucleotide ribosomal RNA is filed under the name uncultured bacterium. Its description in RNAcentral is "bacterial SSU rRNA". It matches the Rfam family "Bacterial small subunit ribosomal RNA", at positions 338 to 916 of the family's 1533-position model. The record is from RNAcentral.